AGAGUUUGAUCCUGGCUCAGAUUGAACGCUGGCGGAAUGCUUUACACAUGCAAGUCGAACGGCAGCACGGGAGCUUGCUCCUGGUGGCGAGUGGCGAACGGGUGAGUAAUGCGUCGGAACGUACCGAGUAAUGGGGGAUAACGCAGCGAAAGCUGUGCUAAUACCGCAUACGCCCCGAGGGGGAAAGCAGGGGAUCGCAAGACCUUGCGUUAUUCGAGCGGCCGACGUCUGAUUAGCUAGUUGGUGGGGUAAAGGCCUACCAAGGCGACGAUCAGUAGCGGGUCUGAGAGGAUGAUCCGCCACACUGGAACUGAGACACGGUCCAGACUCCUACGGGAGGCAGCAGUGGGGAAUUUUGGACAAUGGGGGGAACCCUGAUCCAGCCAUUCCGCGUGAGUGUAGAAGGCCUUCGGGUUGUAAAGCUCUUUCAGCAGGAGCGAAACGGUCGUUUUUAAUACAGACGGCUAAUGACGGUACCUGCAGAAGAAGCACCGGCUAACUACGUGCCAGCAGCCGCGGUAAUACGUAGGGUGCGAGCGUUAAUCGGAAUUACUGGGCGUAAAGCGUGCGCAGGCGGCGACAUAAGACAGAUGUGAAAUCCCCGGGCUCAACCUGGGAACUGCGUUUGUGACUGUGUUGCUAGAGUGUAGCAGAGGGGGGUGGAAUUCCACGUGUAGCAGUGAAAUGCGUAGAGAUGUGGAGGAACACCGAUGGCGAAAGGCAGCCCCCUGGGUUAACACUGACGCUCAUGCACGAAAGCGUGGGGAGCAAACAGGAUUAGAUACCCUGGUAG
RNAcentral lists this ribosomal RNA (793 nucleotides) under uncultured bacterium. RNAcentral's name for it is "bacterial SSU rRNA". It matches the Rfam family "Bacterial small subunit ribosomal RNA", at positions 8 to 793 of the family's 1533-position model. The record is from RNAcentral.